UACGGGGGGGGCAAGCGUUGUUCGGAAUUACUGGGCGUAAAGGGCUCGUAGGUGGCCAACUAAGUCGGACGUGAAAUCCCUCGGCUUAACCGGGGAACUGCGUCCGAUACUGGUUGGCUUGAGUUUGGGAGAGGGAUGCGGAAUUCCCAGUGUAGCGGUGAAAUGCGUAGAUAUCGGGAGGAACAUCAGUGGCGAAGGCGGCUACCUGGCCCAAUACUGACACUCAGGUGCGACAGCGUGGGGAGCAAACAGG
This 253-nucleotide ribosomal RNA is filed under the name uncultured bacterium. RNAcentral's name for it is "partial 16S ribosomal RNA". It matches the Rfam family "Bacterial small subunit ribosomal RNA", at positions 524 to 776 of the family's 1533-position model. The record is from RNAcentral.